This is a long non-coding RNA of Bradysia coprophila, 154 nucleotides long. Lineage: Eukaryota; Metazoa; Arthropoda; Insecta; Diptera; Sciaridae. The record is from RefSeq and is a predicted model, not a curated record.
CAAAUAUCCGAAACAACAUUCCAAUUUUCUGUUGAUCGAAUUUUAAUUUAAUUAAAGAAACAAAUUGGUAAAAUUAAUUUAGUUCAUUAACAUCAAGCCACAUACACGACCGUCACAUAAUUGGCAUAUUAAAAUUUUUCGUUCAAUGUUUAAU